Molecule: non-coding RNA, 45 nt
Filed under: Trichobilharzia regenti
Lineage: Eukaryota; Metazoa; Platyhelminthes; Trematoda; Strigeidida; Schistosomatidae
Source: RNAcentral
AUCCAGUUGGCGAGUCCCAAAUAGGACGAAAUGCGCAUCCUGGAC